This 422-nucleotide ribosomal RNA is filed under the name uncultured prokaryote. RNAcentral describes it as "bacterial SSU rRNA". It matches the Rfam family "Bacterial small subunit ribosomal RNA", at positions 355 to 774 of the family's 1533-position model. The record is from RNAcentral.
UAAGGAAUAUUGGUCAAUGGACGCAAGUCUGAACCAGCCAAGUCGCGUGAAGGAAGAAGGUUCUAUGGAUUGUAAACUUCUUUUGCAGGGGAAUAAAGGACGGUACGUGUACUGUUUUGUAUGUACCUUGCGAAUAAGGAUCGGCUAACUCCGUGCCAGCAGCCGCGGUAAUACGGAGGAUCCGAGCGUUAUCCGGAUUUAUUGGGUUUAAAGGGUGCGUAGGUGGAUUGUUAAGUCAGUGGUGAAAGUUUUCAGCUCAACUGAAAAAUUGCCGUUGAAACUGUCGAUCUUGAGUGCAAAUGAGGUAGGCGGAAUGUGUUGUGUAGCGGUGAAAUGCUUAGAUAUAACACAGAACUCCGAUUGCGAAGGCAGCUUACUGGGAUGCAACUGACACUGAUGCACGAAAGCGUGGGUAUCAAACA